This 121-nucleotide ribosomal RNA is filed under the name Helianthus annuus (common sunflower). The record is from RNAcentral. Lineage: Eukaryota; Viridiplantae; Streptophyta; Magnoliopsida; Asterales; Asteraceae.
GGUUGCGAUCAUACCAGCACUAAUGCACCGGAUCCCAUCAGGACUCCGCAGUUAAGCGUGCUUGGGCGAGAGUAGUACUAGGAUGGGUGACCCCCCUGGGAAGUCCUCGUGUUGCAACCCC